AACACUGUGUGCUGCCGGCGCGCAAGCGCAGAGCCGCGGCCGGCUGGAGGGUGGGCGGUGCCGGUGAGGCCGGCAGGACCUGAGCGGGUUUGGGAGUCCGCUAGGCGCUGCCCCCACUAGAGUCGGACUCGCAGUGCACCCCCCGGGAGGGAGGCAGGUAGCCCUACAGCCGGAGGACAGCAGAGAUGCCCGACAGCAGGCCGAGCUGGUCGGGGGCUGCGAGAUAGCGCCGGCUGGAAGGCCCGCAGGAGUCAGAGGUGAUGAGCCGGGCAGGUGGGUGGAAAGCCGGCGGCGGUCAGAGAAUGGAUGCCAAGCGAGACUGCCAAUGACUCAGGACGUCCCAGUGGAGUCACAGCGUGAGCCCAGCACCGAGGUUUUCAGAGUCAGAUGACUGCAGAGAAGAUGCUGAUGGCACUACUGGCCAAAACGGGCUUCACUGGAGCUGGGAUGGAGUCUUGCUCUGUCGCCCAGGCUGGAGUGCAGUGGCACAAUCUCGGCUCACUGCAACCUCCGCCUCCCAGGUUCAAGAGAUUCUCCUGUCUCAGCCUCCUGAGUAGCUUGGAUUACAGGCAUGUGCCACCACUCCCAGCUAAUUUUGUAUUUUUAGUAGAGACGGGGUUUCGCCAUGUUGGCCAGGCUGGUCUCAAACUCCUGACCUGAAGCAAUCCGCCUGCCUCAGCCUCCCAAAGCUCUGGGAUUACAGGCGUGAGCCACCAUGCCUGGCUGUUGUACUUUCAGAGCCCAAGGUAAGCAGCAGGAAAAGCCCAGGGGGCUCCAAACCAUAGUCCAGAGGUUGUGGGACAUGGCCCCCACAUCCCUAGGGUGGGUACCCAGAGCCAGCUGAGUUCUUCCUCAGCCCUUUGCUCAGGGCCCCCGAUGUGCUGGAAUAAGGGUAACAGAUUCCUCAGUCUAAUGGCCUGGCUCAUCUUGCCAGGCCCUGCCUCCUGCUCAGCUGCCUUGAGUCCUUACUGGGACAUGCUGCUUUUUCCACCCAGGGCCUCCCCUACAGAAACCCCCUAAUCCACUGUUCUCUUCAGGGUUUGAAUCAGGCUACACAGAGAUAGGCCGUUCAUGUGUGGGCGAGGGUCCCUAAUCAUCCCCAGGAGCCAGCACCAGACCAGGCUCUGCCAGCCUUCACAUGGCUCUGAAGUGCUGUUAGGUGAUAACGUACAGUGAGGGGUGUGUGGGCAGAGGAGGGUUUUAUUCUGGACAUGGGUGGCUGGGUGGUCAGUCCCCCAGCAAGAUAGAGGCCUCACGCACAUGCUGCCGGACCACUCGAUCUAAGAGGGUGUGCACAUCUCGGGCAGCCUGGGCAGCAGCCUCCAACACCCGCUCCAGGUGGUCCUCGUGCAGCCGGGCAUCCAUCUCAAGCAGCGCAAUCUGUCCUGAGGCUGGCAGCAGGGCCAGGGCCAGCUGGGGGCCACCAGCUGCUUCCUCCACAUGGCUGAGGUCCGCCAGGGCUGUGCCGUCCACGAAGCCAGCUGAGCACGCACACACAAAGUCUCUCAUGGGUAUCCCGGCAUCCAGCACUGCCAGCGUGGCUGCAUUCACACAAGCUGCAUAGGUCCCACCAUCUGCCUGUAGCACCUGCAGGGAACCCAGGGUGUCAGUCUAUCAGACUCCCUCCCCAACCCCAUCACACCCUUCCCUCCCUGGAUUGACGGCUGCAGCUGGCUCACCUGCACAUAGAUAUCAAUCUGGGAGCGUGGGUGCAGCUGUGUGAGGAUGGCUGCUUCGAAAGUCUGGCGGAGCUGCAGGCCCAUCUCACAGGACUUACGGUCCCCAUGUGGCCGUCGCUUGCGCUCACCUGUGCUGAAGGUCGCUGAACUAUAUUGACAGUUCACUAGGGCCCUGUCCGGCAGGGCUCGAGCCCGGGAGCCCCGGAUCUGGAAGAGGACAGACACAUGAGCCAGGCCCACUCCUUCCAGCUCACACUCCACUGUCCUCUGUGGGUCUGCCUCUCCCUCCACUUUCAAUGCCUCAGCAAGGGGCAACUGCGUUACCUCCAAAACAAAGCCCCCUGUUUUGCGCUCUCUGUCUUGCAUGUGUCGCCCUCUGGCACCUUUUAAUUGGCUUCCUUGUGUCCAUCCUUGCCCCAUUCCCUGCCAACCCAAGUUUACAAACAUCAACGCUGCUUCUGUCUCACCUACACACUCAAAUCCUAACUACCUUACAAAGGUUUCACAUUACAUAUGAAAUAAGAUCCCAAAUCAUUUCCCUACUCUACAAAACCCUAAGUCCUCACCUCCCCGGGAACCCUCAACCUGAUUUGGAGUUAUCCCCUCUUUCCCCACCAGCAGUCUUUCUGCUCUGCAUAAGUGCCUUGCUUGUUUUCACCACCGUGGUCUUCGCCCUUCUGGUUCCCUCCGCCUGGAAAGCAGAGCUCCCACACUCAUGCGCUAAGCAAACACUCUUUCAAUACCUUCGCUGGCCAGGCAGUUACAGCGCUGGAAGCACAGUAAUGAAACCAGAUAGUUUUAUGUAAAGUUCCUUUCUUUAGGAAGCUUAUGUUCCAGCGAGGAAACAAAGGGGAAAAUGCUUAAGCAAAAUAGGCAUUUGAGAUUGUAGGUGCACAAAACAAAGGGUUUAUUGUAGGGCGAGAAGUACCGCGUGGAUAAUAAGGUCGUCUGGGAAGGAGUGACGUCGGAGUAGAGCUGAAAGGAGAGGGAGCGAGUGGGGGAGUGCCUAGCACGUUGAAGAGCCGCAAAGAGGAAGGAGGGCGCAGGGACAGAGGCCGAUGAGAAAGGCAGGACCACCGCGCAGCACACUAAGGACUUGCGUUUACUCCGAGUGAGAUGCGGUGCUGAGCAUCGGCUGUGUAGACUGAGGCGCGCCGGCCGUUGCCCCUCAAGUCCCCGAGCCAGCGCUCAGCCCGGCUGCCCCGCAGCUCCCACGGCCACACGAUUCCCCAUCCCGCGCGCCCACUCGCCUCGUGCGGGCCGUAGACCACAGCCAGUGCCUUGGUGUUGCCCUGCUCAAUGUAGGCCGAGCCGUCAGCCUGCGCGAACACGCCCAUCCGCGCCUGGAUCUUGCGCAGCUCCCCGGCGCGCCGCCCGUCCACCCGGUAGCCCUGGUCCGACAAGAGCUCCAGCCCCGCCAUGCUGCCCGGCCGCCAGGUCCGCUCUCUGCCUACUUCUCUGAGCCGCGGGAGAACUACAGCUCCCGGCGGCUCCGACCGCCCGGAAUCUACGGUUUCCGGAGGUCCGCCAUCACUUCCGGUUCCGGGGAACUACAGCUCUCCGCGGCCCUGACCUCCGUGGAUCUGCGGUUUCCGGCGUUCCGCUGUCACUUCCUGUCCUGGUGAACUGGAGUUCACCGCGGCCCCGACCUCCCCGGAUCUACGGUUUCCGGCGGUCCGGCUCUACUUCUGUCUCCGGGGAACUGCGGCGGCGCUAUCGGGGAAGCAGCGGCUGGGCCCGCAGCCGUUCCCGGAGCUGUGCCACGGGUGCCAGGAGGUGGGCGCCCGCCGAAGGAGGAAUUGCCCAGUCACGCCCUCGUGACCAGUGGUGCCUGCAUUCAGCCCUUCCCCGCGCCCCAAGUGUGAAAGUGGAAGGAUGAACCCAGUGGGGUGCGACACUGACAGGAGAAGGCAUUGAGCGGUCCUAGGAAAGUGACCAGGCUGGUGUCCCAGGAUGGUCCACACCUGGCACCUCUCCAGUCCUCUCAUGCCCUCCCUUUACACCGAGCUUCCACACUGCAGUCAGGUGGGCCUCCCUUUUCCCUUUGAGGAUGCAGAUUUCCUCAUCCUUUCCAGAGAGGGGUUGUAUGUCUGUUUAUCUCUUGCCACUUAACCUCAGCGGCUUCAAAUAAUAAAAAUCAUUCUAUUAUUA
Homo sapiens (human) is the source of this 3830-nucleotide long non-coding RNA. RefSeq lists it as uncharacterized. The record is from RefSeq and is a predicted model, not a curated record. Lineage: Eukaryota; Metazoa; Chordata; Mammalia; Primates; Hominidae. The transcript is spliced from 2 exons.